This 468-nucleotide ribosomal RNA is filed under the name uncultured bacterium. RNAcentral describes it as "partial 16S ribosomal RNA". It matches the Rfam family "Bacterial small subunit ribosomal RNA", at positions 28 to 507 of the family's 1533-position model. The record is from RNAcentral.
GACGAACGCUGGCGGCGUGCUUAACACAUGCAAGUCGAACGGCAAGGCCCUGCUUUUGUGGGGUGCUCGAGUGGCGAACGGGUGAGUAACACGUGAGUAACCUGCCCUUGACUUUGGGAUAACUUCAGGAGGCUGGGGCUAAUACCGGAUAGGAGCUCAUGCUGCAUGGUGGGGGUUGGAAAGUUUCGGCGGGUGGGGAUGGACUCGCGGCUUAUCAGCUUGUUGGUUGGGUAGUGGCAUACCAAGGAUGUGACGGGUAGCCGGCCUGGGAGGGUGACCGGCCACAUUGGGACUGAGAUACGGCCCAGACUCCUACGGGAGGCAGCAGUGGGGAAUAUUGCACAAUGGGCGGAAGCCUGAUGCAGCAACGCCGCGUGCGGGAUGACGGCCUUCGGGUUGUAAACCGCUUUCGCCUGUGACGAAGCGUGAGUGACGGUAAUGGGUAAAGAAGCACCGGCUAACUACGUG